This is a non-coding RNA of Cricetulus griseus (Chinese hamster), 584 nucleotides long. NCBI's taxonomy places the organism in Eukaryota, Metazoa, Chordata, Mammalia, Rodentia, Cricetidae. The record is from RefSeq and is a predicted model, not a curated record.
CUGAGCUAAAAGAUGAGGAAUCCUAGUCAUUGAUCAAGCAGCUUUGAACAUUAGUGGUCAAACAUGCAAAUCUACUUUUAAUCAAUAACAAGAAAGGAUCCUAUAUUCAAUGCAGGAAUCACAAGGCUGUUGAUUGCAUCUUCGUCCAGUAACAGAAGGAAGCAAAUGCAGAAAUCCACAGCUAAGCACUGGGCCAAGUUCCCAGAGUCCAGUUGAAGAGAGUGAGGACAAUAACAUGAUCAAAUGUAUCAAGUCCAGUUUGGAGAUAUCCACAAAAACAGCUGACCCGAGCUAGUGGGAGCUUGUUGACUCUGUACUGACAGCUGGGAAACCUGCAUAGGGCCAAAGUAGGCCUUCUGAAUGUAGGUGACAGUAGUGUAGUUUGGGUAGUCUGUGGGACCAAUGGCAGUGGGCCCAGGAUUUAUCCCUAGUGCUUUAGCUGGCUUUUUGGAGCUCAUUUUCUUUGGAGGGAUAACUUGCUCAGCAUAGAUAUAAUGGGGAGAGCCUUGGUCCUGCCUCAAAGUAAGGUGCCAGAAUUCAUUGACUCCCCAUGGGGAGGCUUACCCUCUCUGAGGAGUGGAUGG